CCGGUUCACUUUAACACUGAGGCGUGACGACGAGGCACUACGGUGCUGAAGCAACAAAUGCCCUGCUUCCAGGAAAAGCCUCUAAGCAUCAGGUAACAUCAAAUCGUACCCCAAACCGACACAGGUGGUCAGGUAGAGAAUACCAAGGCGCUUGAGAGAACUCGGGUGAAGGAACUAGGCAAAAUGGUGCCGUAACUUCGGGAGAAGGCACGCUGACACGUAGGUGAAGUGAUUUACUCAUGGAGCUGAAGUCAGUCGAAGAUACCAGCUGGCUGCAACUGUUUAUUAAAAACACAGCACUGUGCAAACACGAAAGUGGACGUAUACGGUGUGACGCCUGCCCGGUGCCGGAAGGUUAAUUGAUGGGGUCAGCGCAAGCGAAGCUCCUGAUCGAAGCCCCGGUAAACGGCGGCCGUAACUAUAACGGUCCUAAGGUAGCGAAAUUCCUUGUCGGGUAAGUUCCGACCUGCACGAAUGGCGUAAUGAUGGCCAGGCUGUCUCCACCCGAGACUCAGUGAAAUUGAACUCGCUGUGAAGAUGCAGUGUACCCGCGGCAAGACGGAAAGACCCCGUGAACCUUUACUAUAGCUUGACACUGAACAUUGAGCCUUGAUGUGUAGGAUAGGUGGGAGGCUUUGAAGUGUGGACGCCAGUCUGCAUGGAGCCGACCUUGAAAUACCACCCUUUAAUGUUUGAUGUUCUAACGUGGACCCGUUACCCGGGUUGCGGACAGUGUCUGGUGGGUAGUUUGACUGGGGCGGUCUCCUCCUAAAGAGUAACGGAGGAGCACGAAGGUUGGCUAAUCCUGGUCGGACAUCAGGAGGUUAGUGCAAUGGCAUAAGCCAGCUUGACUGCGAGCGUGACGGCGCGAGCAGGUGCGAAAGCAGGUCAUAGUGAUCCGGUGGUUCUGAAUGGAAGGGCCAUCGCUCAACGGAUAAAAGGUACUCCGGGGAUAACAGGCUGAUACCGCCCAAGAGUUCAUAUCGACGGCGGUGUUUGGCACCUCGAUGUCGGCUCAUCACAUCCUGGGGCUGAAGUAGGUCCCAAGGGUAUGGCUGUUCGCCAUUUAAAGUGGUACGCGAGCUGGGUUUAGAACGUCGUGAGACAGUUCGGUCCCUAUCUGCCGUGGGCGCUGGAGAACUGAGGGGGGCUGCUCCUAGUACGAGAGGACCGGAGUGGACGCAUCACUGGUGUUCGGGUUGUCAUGCCAAUGGCACUGCCCGGUAGCUAAAUGCGGAAGAGAUAAGUGCUGAAAGCAUCUAAGCACGAAACUUGCCCCGAGAUGAGUUCUCCCUGAGACUUAAAGUCUCCUGAAGGAACGUUGAAGACGACGACGUUGAUAGGCCGGGUGUGUAAGCGCAGCGAUGCGUUGAGCUAACCGGUACUAAUGAACCGUGAGGCUUAACCUUACAACGCCGAAG
Molecule: ribosomal RNA, 1421 nt
Filed under: Salmonella enterica subsp. enterica serovar Enteritidis
Lineage: Bacteria; Pseudomonadati; Pseudomonadota; Gammaproteobacteria; Enterobacterales; Enterobacteriaceae
Description: partial 23S ribosomal RNA
Rfam family: Bacterial large subunit ribosomal RNA
Source: RNAcentral